RNAcentral lists this ribosomal RNA (466 nucleotides) under uncultured bacterium. RNAcentral's name for it is "bacterial SSU rRNA". It matches the Rfam family "Bacterial small subunit ribosomal RNA", at positions 29 to 524 of the family's 1533-position model. The record is from RNAcentral.
AACGAACGCUGGCGGCAGGCCUUAAACAUGCAAGUCGAGCGAAGCCUUUCUUUCGGGAAAGUGACUUAGCGGCAGACGGGUGAGUAACGCGUAGAUACCUACCCAACAGUGGGGAAUAACCAUGGGAAACUAUGGCUAAUACCGCAUACACCCUUAGGGGGAAAGCUUUAUGCGCUGUUGGAGGGGUUUGCGUUAGAUUAGAUAGUUGGUAGGGUAAUGGCCUACCAAGUCGACGAUCUAUAGCUGGUUUGAGAGGAUGAUCAGCCACACCGGAACUGAGACACGGUUCGGACUCCUACGGGAGGCAGCAGUUGGGAAUAUUGCACAAUGGGGGAAACCCUGAUGCAGCCAUGCCGCGUGAGUGAUGAAGGCCUUAGGGUUGUAAAGCUCUUUCACCUGUGAAGAUGAUGACAGUAGCAGGAGAAGAAGCCCCGGCUAACUUCGUGCCAGCAGCCGCCGCCGUAAC